Molecule: ribosomal RNA, 532 nt
Filed under: uncultured bacterium
Lineage: Bacteria
Description: bacterial SSU rRNA
Rfam family: Bacterial small subunit ribosomal RNA
Source: RNAcentral
AAUAGAUACCCCGGUAGUCCACGCCGUAAACGUUGGAACUAGAUGUAGGGACCAUUCCACGGUUUCUGUGUCGCAGCUAACGCAUUAAGUUCCCCGCCUGGGGAGUACGGCCGCAAGGCUAAAACUCAAAGGAAUUGACGGGGGCCCGCACAAGCGGCGGAGCAUGCGGAUUAAUUCGAUGCAACGCGAAGAACCUUACCAAGGCUUGACAUACACGAGAACGGGCCAGAAAUGGUCAACUCUUUGGACACUCGUGAACAGGUGGUGCAUGGUUGUCGUCAGCUCGUGUCGUGAGAUGUUGGGUUAAGUCCCGCAACGAGCGCAACCCUCGUUCUAUGUUGCCAGCACGUAAUGGUGGGAACUCAUAGGAGACUGCCGGGGUCAACUCGGAGGAAGGUGGGGAUGACGUCAAAUCAUCAUGCCCCUUGUGUCUUGGGCUUCACGCAUGCUACAAUGGCCGAUACAAAGGGCUGCAAUACCGCAAGGUGGAGCGAAUCCCAAAAAGUCGGUCUCAGUUCGGAUUGAGGUCUGC